AGAGUUUGAUUCUGGCUCAGGACGAACGCUGGCGGCGUGCUUAACACAUGCAAGUCGAACGAUGAAGCCUAGCUUGCUAGGUGGAUUAGUGGCGAACGGGUGAGUAAUACGUGAGUAACCUACCUUUAACUCUGGGAUAAGCCUGGGAAACUGGGUCUAAUACCGGAUACGACCAAUCUCCGCAUGGGGUGUUGGUGGAAAGCGUUAUGUAGUGGUUAUAGAUGGGCUCACGGCCUAUCAGCUUGUUGGUGAGGUAACGGCUCACCAAGGCGACGACGGGUAGCCGGCCUGAGAGGGUGACCGGCCACACUGGGACUGAGACACGGCCCAGACUCCUACGGGAGGCAGCAGUGGGGAAUAUUGCACAAUGGGCGCAAGCCUGAUGCAGCGACGCCGCGUGAGGGAUGACGGCCUUCGGGUUGUAAACCUCUGUUAGCAGGGAAGAAGAGAGAUUGACGGUACCUGCAGAGAAAGCGCCGGCUAACUACGUGCCAGCAGCCGCGGUAAUACGUAGGGCGCGAGCGUUGUCCGGAAUUAUUGGGCGUAAAGAGCUUGUAGGCGGUUUGUCGCGUCUGCUGUGAAAGGCCGGGGCUUAACCCCGUGUAUUGCAGUGGGUACGGGCAGACUAGAGUGCAGUAGGGGAGACUGGAAUUCCUGGUGUAGCGGUGGAAUGCGCAGAUAUCAGGAGGAACACCGAUGGCGAAGGCAGGUCUCUGGGCUGUAACUGACGCUGAGAAGCGAAAGCAUGGGGAGCGAACAGGAUUAGAUACCCUGGUAGUCCAUGCCGUAAACGUUGGGCACUAGGUGUGGGGGACAUUCCACGUUUUCCGCGCCGUAGCUAACGCAUUAAGUGCCCCGCCUGGGGAGUACGGCCGCAAGGCUAAAACUCAAAG
RNAcentral lists this ribosomal RNA (893 nucleotides) under metagenome. RNAcentral describes it as "bacterial SSU rRNA". It matches the Rfam family "Bacterial small subunit ribosomal RNA", at positions 8 to 906 of the family's 1533-position model. The record is from RNAcentral.